AGCAGCUACUCGAAGUGAUUUUGCGCGUAUGUGACGAGUGUUUUGUAGGUAAUAUAAAAUGAUUUUAUACAAAAAUUAACUUAAAAAAACAUUAUGUUUUAAUAAUCUAUAUAUAUUUACAUCUUUAAACAUAUCAUUUUUAAAUAUUUUUUCUGUAUUUUUUUUACGGUAAUUUAUAAAAUACCUGCCAAGAUGCAUCCUCGGCUUGUCGAGACAAGUAUCGCAAUUAUAAGUUGUUUCGUGCCUUUCUCCUGCUUUGUUUCGCAGCCGACGUCGAAGCUCGAUCUCACGGUUGUCGAAUAUCUCCUCUCAACUGGUCUACUAAAGUUUUUAUAAAUCGCAGGUGGUUAAUUGGCCUCUCAUUCUUUUUUUU
This 373-nucleotide unclassified non-coding RNA is filed under the name Bombus terrestris (buff-tailed bumblebee). RNAcentral's name for it is "misc RNA ENSBTSG00005034335.1". The record is from RNAcentral. Lineage: Eukaryota; Metazoa; Arthropoda; Insecta; Hymenoptera; Apidae.